Long non-coding RNA from Chinchilla lanigera (long-tailed chinchilla), 1065 nucleotides. RefSeq lists it as uncharacterized. The record is from RefSeq and is a predicted model, not a curated record. Lineage: Eukaryota; Metazoa; Chordata; Mammalia; Rodentia; Chinchillidae. The transcript has 3 exons.
UUGAGUUUUAUACUUUGGCAAGUGUGGGCUGAGACAAAAGAGGAAGAAGACAGAAGCUAGAAAGUUAAAAGCGGGGAGGCAGAGGUUCCAGAAACAAAGUUACACAGAUCCGGGCCGGGACAGACACUGACGAGAGGGAGAGGAAAUCAACCUUGAAGAAGGCAAAAGAAAGGGGAGAGGCGAAGACAGCACGCUGUGCACACAGGCUCCUCGGGGCUUCGUCUCCGGCCUGUAGCCUUCUGAGCAUUGUUGCUAACUGGUCUAAGGCCUCCCGCAUUUCUGAGACAAAGCGGAAUACAACUGCCCCCAUCCGCCACCAGCCUUGGCAAGGCCUCUCACUCUGAGGUCCUUUCUAAGACGCAGGAGCCACAGCUGCAUGAGGAACUCACGACUUUGCUCAGGGGGAGAGGGAGACAAGCAGGAAGCAGCAGGCCAGAAAAAUGUUCCUCCCCCAGGAAGCGAAGCGCCCGCCCCGGCCACAGACCCGCUUCUGGGUGCAGCGCAGGAUGAGGAAGGUCUCGAUGCUGUGCUCCUUGAGGCCAGCAUGCUUUGUGAGCACCUGGACUAAGGGUGGCUAACACAGUGGCUCCUCCCACUGAUCCAUGGAGCGGUGCACAGGAUCUGACAAGUGAGGAAUUUCUACUUCAGCUCUGCUCCCCAAGAUCAACCAACCCGUGGCCCCCUGCAGACCAACAGCCCACUGCCCUAACCAUCCCAUGGACAGGUGUCCGCGGGGUGGGACAGCUGCCAACACGCAGAGCUCUGUGAAACUCUUCAGGGUGGCCAAGGAUAAGCCUCCUUUCCUCACCUCAUGGAUUCUUCCCAAGGAAAGCCCAAUGAAGUUGCGUGUGUGUGUGUGUGUGUGUGUGUGUGUGUGUGAGAUCCCUGUCCCUUGCCCUCCUGCACCUCCUGGGUAGCCCUGCUGCCUGUACGACCUAAUAUGACAUGGCCCCUUCUCUUGGGAACUGUCUCAAUCCUUUCAAGGCAAAUCAUCUCCUGACCAUACCUGAAUCACAAUAAAUCCUGCAUUUUAAAAUACACUGCUUUCAGCUCCUCACUGUCCUG